CGAACGUUCCACAAAAACUGUGUCUACGGAGAAAAUAAAUAAAAAUAAAUACAGGUGAACAUAUAUUAACAGUGAAUACUAACAAUAGAUUUUUGACGUCUCCCGGGCGAAACAUCAUAAUUGAGAAAUGGCAGAAGAAGUAUAAACAAUACUAAUAAUACUUCUAAACAAGACGGUGCCAUUGUUUCUUGCUAAAAUACCGGUUCACACAUUAAUCUCACUCCGAGACAUGGUGGAAGGAUUACAUGGUGUGCCAAGAACUCGCUAACCACGCCCCUUUACGCGCAGGACGGGAGAUUGAAGUGCCAAUGUGACAACUGUGAAAAACGGAACAAAUUUUACGUGUUGCAUUGCCAGCCGAACCAGUGUUGCCAACUUAGCGGAUCAUUCGGAUUCUGGCAAGUGCUUGGCGGGCAAAUUUUGAAUUUAAGCGGCUAGCAGAGAAUUUAGUGAAAAAUAUAUUUUUAUAGCAGAAAUUUAUCGUAAAUAGUACAAUGUAAACGAAUCAUCAAAUUAACCGAAAUGGACUCUGCCAAAGAUCAAACGUAGUUAUGGUCAAAAGACAGAACAUUAACAAGGUGACGCAUUUUUAUACCGCCUAAUACAGCGUCGCUCUAUCUGGGAAAUUAAUAUAAGAACAUGUAGUAACAUUGUCGAAUUCCGGGAAAUUGACAACAAUGUUGUAUCUGGAUUUUUUAACAGACCUAGUACGGCCAUAUGUGGGAAAAGAACAGUGCUGUACAACGAAAUUUUUCUGGACGAAUUUGCUUUGCCAACGUGCACCAUGAAGGUAAUUCCUCCAAAAUGCACGCCGUUGGUCAAACCGUGCGAUGUCUAUUUUUAUAGACAGGUAAAAAAUAUAAAGCGGAUGCAGAAUUGCGCCCAACUGAUUAAUCAGGGGCAGGAAAUCAAUUCCAGAGAGAAUUGCAAUAAAAUUCAUUUAAUCGCACACCACCAAUUGUCCUCAUCAAUUUUCAAUUAUAUGCUUCGGUACGCGUGGUAGGCUGCCAAGCUUUGCAACGAUUUGGAAAUUUUUAUGAAUGUAAACGAGGUGUGCUUCUCGAUCUAAAUUUUAAAAAAAAAGCACAUAAACAACCUUUAUACAGUGUGCUAGGUGCUGGUGAGCCUUUGUUUUCCUCGUUUUUAUGACGUGUACCACUCGGGCUCAUGUGGAACUCCACCUCAAGUAAAGCGAUAGGGUGAAUGAUAUACGUAAUUUAUAAUUGCAUUUCUUACUCGACGUCGUCGAUUUUUUUACAAAGAGCAAUUUGUCAAGCGAGAGGUAAGUUGAAAUACGUAAAAUUGCGUUUGUCAUUGCAAGGUUUAAUGUAAAACUUAUUUACUUGCAUUUAAAUUCGAUGUAUUUUAUAUGCAAGUGAUGUAGGUAGAAAUAUUAGAAGGAAUCAAAGGUGUAAAAAAAUAGUUUCCAAUAUUUUUGCUGAAACUAGCCUUUUUGAUCCCAUCAGAUAUCUAACAUAUUUUGCAUCGAAUACUUUAUGCAAAAAAAUUGAUUUUUAGACUUAUAAUAUUUUUUGCCCAACUUUGAUCUUCCAUCAUAUACAGUUAAUUUUUGGUGAUCGAAUCAUUUUCUAUUUAAGUAUUUCGCAAAAGGAUUUCGGUUAAUUCCGGUGUUCUAUUUUAUUGGCCUUUUUGUACUAUUGUUUUCAUAUAGUGUGACGAGAGGAGCAAUUCCUCAAAUGAUAAUGACAUAGGUAUAUCCUGUAUAUAUCAUCCCCAGUUGAAAGUCGCGUUUCCUAUAGCAACAUAGAAUCGAAACUGUACUAUUUUUACGUUCAUAAUUUCCUAUAUAUCUUAUUUCAACUUCAACCUGAGGAACAACACAAGGGUAAUCAAUGAAUCUGAAUCCAUUCUCGGGUGCGAAAAUUUAAUCAAACGUCUCUUUAGCAUGCUUUGAAAUUUAACAUAAAGGUACCGCUAUAAGUGUAAUAUAUUUGAGUAAAAAAAGCAUAAUUCAAACAAAUAAAACUUGCACAAAAUUCGAACUUCACACCUUCAAUGACUUCACAAUUAUUAAACUUCAAUUUGAAAUUAUUAAUUGAAGUACAAUUACACAUAUUCAGGUGUUAUUUGUAACAAUUUUGUAACAUUUUUCUUGACCUCAACUAUAUCUCGAUAACAAUUCCAACUUUGAUUGUAAAGAAUGUACAAUUGCUGAUAGACAUGAUUGACAUUGGUGAUAGCACACGUGAUCUAAACACGACUGUUAAAAGUUACCUCAGCAUUUGACUAGGAAACUUUAAUUUUGAAACUGAAUUCAACCUAAUGAGAAGAGUGAGAUACGAGAAUCUGAAAUUCGAGUAUUGUGCCCAAAAAUUAUAGUAGAAAAUAUACCUAUUAACAUGUAAAUAGGCUAGACAACAAAUGUCUAUGAUGCACACAACGCAAAUACAUUUGUAUAUAUUACAAAUUAUGUAUAAUACAUGACUAAAUGACUAUCAAAACUAUGUUUGUUUUAGGUAUAUCAUUAAUAUGGGUAAAAUAGACAAAUAAAUAGUAACAGACAUAUUCCGUGUUGCGUACGUAAUUUGAAUAGUCCAACAAACAAUAUACGUAUAUUACACACAUGUAUGUAUAUAUACCUAUAUACUCAAUUAGACCACUCUUCAGACUUUAACGACUCGUGAUUUGUACCCGUCGGAAUAUAACUUAGUAUGUAACAUGGCUUACAUAAAAGAAAUAAUUUUUUCCUUAAUAUUUGGAGCCUAAAUCCCACAUUCUCAGCAGUAAAAAUUUAGCGAAUAUUGGAAACCAAUAAUUUGCAACUACCGAUACCUCGAAAUUGAAAAUGCAACAUUAUAAUGUUGGAUACUUGAUUUCAUUU
Molecule: long non-coding RNA, 2842 nt
Filed under: Neodiprion lecontei (redheaded pine sawfly)
Lineage: Eukaryota; Metazoa; Arthropoda; Insecta; Hymenoptera; Diprionidae
Description: uncharacterized LOC124293705
Source: RNAcentral